UACAGAGGUCUCAAGCGUUGUUCGGAUUCAUUGGGCGUAAAGGGUGCGUAGGCGGCGCGGUAAGUCGGGUGUGAAAUCUCGGAGCUUAACUCCGAAACUGCAUUCGAUACUGCCGUGCUUGAGGACUGGAGAGGAGACUGGAAUUUACGGUGUAGCGGUGAAAUGCGCAGAUAUCAGGAGGAACACCGGUGGCGAAGGCGGGUCUCUGGGCCGAUACUGACGCUGAGGAGCGAAAGCGUGGGGAGCAAACCGG
This 253-nucleotide ribosomal RNA is filed under the name uncultured bacterium. Its description in RNAcentral is "partial 16S ribosomal RNA". It matches the Rfam family "Bacterial small subunit ribosomal RNA", at positions 524 to 776 of the family's 1533-position model. The record is from RNAcentral.